GUGGUAUUAACGUGACGUCAAUUUAAUCAAUGUUGUCUGGUUUGAAUUAGACGUUCAUAGACUUAUAAACUGUAUGCAGUUUUUUUCUCGGCUUUAUCUAAACUCGAUUUGUCGUCAACUAUUUUCCCUACAUUAGUAUCAGAUUUGGACCGUGGACCUUAUACUCAUUGAAAUCAUGUUAUUGAUAUGAUAAACCAUCAAAGAGCCUAUGAGAGGAUUUCAAUUGAGUGUGCACCUCAAGUGGGGGACGCUGAUACAGUGAUGCGUAGCCCGGGAGGCGAUGGUUCGGCGGCUUCGAGUCACAGAUCUCGCGUAUACGGCCUACCGACGAUACGAUUUUAUACGCUUGGAAAUAGAUCGUUAGAUUGUUAGUUGCUUAGAAAUCUUCAAUUGUUUUUUACAACGGGAUGACUUACGAAACGCGUACAGUUGUAUUCUUACAUUGACGUACAUGAAAAUCGUAAUUUAUGAUAACAUUGUUUAUGUGUAGUUAUGCAUAUUGAUGACACAACAAAUCGCAUUGCACAGUCGACAACAACAGAAAAUACGACGAUGUUAAUUUUAAGAUCGUUUUUAGAUUUUGAGUGGAGCGAAGAAGCUUACGGUUUUACAAAGUUGAUUUUAUUUUUUUUUCUCUGGACAACUUUUCUACCAGAAUUCUUGACAGAAUCCAUGACAUACAAGGUGGACAUACAAUAUUUUAAUGGGUACACUCAUUAUAGAACAUUUAAGAACAUUUAAGAAACAAGUAGCUCUACAAUAAUUUUAUAUUAAUAUUAUUUUUUGCCACCCUUUUUUGGGGGGGCAAAAGGACCACCUAAUUUUGAUUUUCAAAUAACAAUCAAAAUUAAAAAUUCCAUAAAUGAAUGGAGUCUUAGUUUAACUAAAUUUUAGUGUUGACAUUUUUGAUUUCCGUCAAUCCGUUGAUGACAUAUUCCAGUUUUAUGUUUUGGUUGGAGGAGAGUAGUGGAAUAUCAUUCAUGUGGCGGCAUGACGCGUGGCGUGUUAAUAAUGUACCUAAUGUUGA
This is a non-coding RNA of Cinara cedri, 1027 nucleotides long. NCBI's taxonomy places the organism in Eukaryota, Metazoa, Arthropoda, Insecta, Hemiptera, Aphididae. The record is from the annotation of a GenBank genome assembly.